AGUGAACGCUGGCGGUAGGCCUAACACAUGCAAGUCGAACGGCAGCACAGUAAGAGCUUGCUCUUACGGGUGGCGAGUGGCGGACGGGUGAGGAAUACAUCGGAAUCUACUUUUUCGUGGGGGAUAACGUAGGGAAACUUACGCUAAUACCUCAUACGACCUACGGGUGAAAGCAGGGGAUCUUCGGACCUUGCGCGAUUGAAUGAGCCGAUGUCGGAUUAGCUAGUUGGCGGGGUAAAGGCCCACCAAGGCGACGAUCCGUAGCUGGUCUGAGAGGAUGAUCAGCCACACUGGAACUGAGACACGGUCCAGACUCCUACGGGAGGCAGCAGUGGGGAGUAUUGGACAAUGGGCGCAAGCCUGAUCCAGCCAUACCGCGUGGGUGAAGAAGGCCUUCGGGUUGUAAAGCCCUUUUGUUGGGAAAGAAAAGCAGCAGGAUAAUCCCCCGAUGUUCUGACGGUACCCAAAGAAUAAGCACCGGCUAACUUCGUG
This 492-nucleotide ribosomal RNA is filed under the name uncultured bacterium. RNAcentral describes it as "partial 16S ribosomal RNA". It matches the Rfam family "Bacterial small subunit ribosomal RNA", at positions 29 to 507 of the family's 1533-position model. The record is from RNAcentral.